RNAcentral lists this long non-coding RNA (246 nucleotides) under Mytilus galloprovincialis (Mediterranean mussel). The record is from RNAcentral. Lineage: Eukaryota; Metazoa; Mollusca; Bivalvia; Mytilida; Mytilidae.
UGUCUCGGACUACAUCGUAACAUGUGAAGAUUGGUUGGUUAUUGGUUAAUAAAAAAAAGUGACAAAUAUUUCAUGCAAAUUUAGGACGUGACAGUUAUCAAUACAUUAACAUACAAUAUGUAGGAUUACUCGAUCAGGGGUUUAGGUCUUGUAACUGUUGUAUAGGCCAUCCCGCACAACCAUACCAUUGUGAAUACCCCACAUGUCAAUGCAUGUUAGGCAAUAAACAGGGGUGGAUCCAGCCAU